UACGUAGGUGGCAAGCGUUGUCCGGAUUUAUUGGGCGUAAAGGGCGCGCAGGUGGUUCGUUAAGUCCGAGGUGAAAUCUCCCGGCUCAACUGGGAGGGGUCUUCGGAUACUGGCGGACUUGAGGAGAGCAGAGGUGAGCGGAAUUCUCGGUGUAGUGGUGAAAUGCGUAGAUAUCGAGAGGAACACCAGCGGCGAAGGCGGCUCACUGGGCUCCACCUGACACUGAGGCGCGAAAGCGUGGGGAGCAAACCGGAUUAGAAACCCCAGUAGUCC
This 273-nucleotide ribosomal RNA is filed under the name uncultured bacterium. RNAcentral describes it as "partial 16S ribosomal RNA". It matches the Rfam family "Bacterial small subunit ribosomal RNA", at positions 524 to 796 of the family's 1533-position model. The record is from RNAcentral.